CUCAGGACGAACGCUGGCGGCGUGCUAAUACAUGCAAGUCGAACGCUUCUUUCCUCCCGAGUGCUUGCACUCAAUUGGAAAGAGGAGUGGCGGACGGGUGAGUAACACGUGGGUAACCUACCCAUCAGAGGGGGAUAACACUUGGAAACAGGUGCUAAUACCGCAUAACAGUUUAUGCCGCAUGGCAUAAGAGUGAAAGGCGCUUUCGGGUGUCGCUGAUGGAUGGACCCGCGGUGCAUUAGCUAGUUGGUGAGGUAACGGCUCACCAAGGCCACGAUGCAUAGCCGACCUGAGAGGGUGAUCGGCCACACUGGGACUGAGACACGGCCCAGACUCCUACGGGAGGCAGCAGUAGGGAAUCUUCGGCAAUGGACGAAAGUCUGACCGAGCAACGCCGCGUGAGUGAAGAAGGUUUUCGGAUCGUAAAACUCUGUUGUUAGAGAAGAACAAGGACGUUAGUAACUGAACGUCCCCUGACGGUAUCUAACCAGAAAGCCACGGCUAACUACGUGCCAGCAGCCGCGGUAAUACGUAGGUGGCAAGCGUUGUCCGGAUUUAUUGGGCGUAAAGCGAGCGCAGGCGGUUUCUUAAGUCUGAUGUGAAAGCCCCCGGCUCAACCGGGGAGGGUCAUUGGAAACUGGGAGACUUGAGUGCAGAAGAGGAGAGUGGAAUUCCAUGUGUAGCGGUGAAAUGCGUAGAUAUAUGGAGGAACACCAGUGGCGAAGGCGGCUCUCUGGUCUGUAACUGACGCUGAGGCUCGAAAGCGUGGGGAGCAAACAGGAUUAGAUACCCUGGUAGUCCACGCCGUAAACGAUGAGUGCUAAGUGUUGGAGGGUUUUCCGCCCUUCAGUGCUGCAGCAAACGCAUUAAGCACUCCGCCUGGGGAGUACGACCGCAAGGUUGAAACUCAAAGGAAUUGACGGGGGGCCCGCACAAGCGGUGGAGCAUGUGGUUUUAUUC
RNAcentral lists this ribosomal RNA (960 nucleotides) under uncultured bacterium. RNAcentral's name for it is "bacterial SSU rRNA". It matches the Rfam family "Bacterial small subunit ribosomal RNA", at positions 23 to 952 of the family's 1533-position model. The record is from RNAcentral.